This 41-nucleotide non-coding RNA is filed under the name unclassified sequences. The record is from Rfam.
UGAGUGUCAGGGAUCAGAGAGUGGGAACAAGCCACUCAGAC